UGGGAGAACACUAAUUACACCUUUGAAACUUGUAUCUAGAAAUCAUGAAGAUGUCGGAUCCUUAUAGGUAAACUGAACUCUUGCUGAUUGUUUUUCAUUGCAAUUUCACAAGUAAUGUUGGUUGCUUCAAUUCAUGGAAUUGGUUUCAUGAAUAAUAUUUCUUCGUCUUAUUGUAAGUUUCCAACCAAAAUAGCAACCCAUUCAGUUGCCUCUCUCUCUCUCUCUCUCUCUCUCUCUCUCUCAUAAACAUACAGACAAUAACAAAUCAAUGGGAGACUUGCCACCUCCACCUUUCUCUCUUUCUACCUUUAAACUGGUGGGUUUUAAGAACUAACAACCAUUUUUCGCAUUUGCAAGAGCAUAUUGAUUAACAACUUAAGUGAAUAUAACGACACAUUGAGAUUAAUUUAGUCUCUUGGAACUGUAGGAAAUUGUCCAUUUUUUCUUAUUCUCACCAACAAGGUUUAAUCAUUUAUGUUAUGACUAACUAACCGUAAAAUUAAUCCCCACAAUUAAGGCAACUCUAAGAUUUUAAGAGCUCUGUACAAAACGAGUAAGGAACAAAAAUUGAAACAAAAGCUAAAAUUUUGAUAGCCCCUGUUCUAAUCCACUCAUAACCUUGUUGAAAUCUGACUUAAAUUCAAAGUUCAUUCGUGUGAGUACUUGCUUGGUGACUUGGGAUUUUGAAUUAAUGCCAUCUUCUAUUCCACCCUAGAUUUUUCCUGCAAGGACGUCCUUAUUCUUAAACCAAAAAAAAAAAAGAAAAAAAAAAGGCCAUCUUUUCUAGAGCAAUUUUAUGAUACAGUUCAAUGAUGGAACUAAUCAUCAUGUACAGCUCAUAACUUCAUUAAAUUUGUAUAAUUGAGUGCAUAAUGAUUUUAUUUUUUCAAUAAUACGAGGGACACCAAAUUUGAUGAUUUGGAUUCCGAAUUAUGUGAACAUGUAUUUACGAGUCAUUAUUUCUUUUUAGAAAAGGAAAUAAAUUAUUAUUAUUAUUAUUUUAAUUAAUCAAAAGUCCCAAACAAUUAGUACCGAUGUAUCCCAACACCACCACCUAACCUCCCUUGCUCCGCCGUGCUGAACCACCAUAGAGCUCCAACUCCAACUCUGACACAAUUAUAAGUCAUAUUUUUGCAGCAUCCCAUGCAAAUUACCUUCCCUAUAUUUUCCCUAAUCCCACCACAACCAUAGUCUAGCCUUUAGGCCUCAUAUAUGUAAAUGAGGGGGAGAUGAAGAUCUGGAAGGGCUUUGACUUCGAGAGACUUUGGAAAAGGCUAAAGAAGAGAGAAAUUUUUUAAAAGAAGUCAAAAUUGACAAAAUUGCCCUUAUUUAUUUUUGGAUUUCCUAAGGAAUUCUUUACAUUUGCAUGUCUUUAGUUUGAAAGUUGAGAGUUUUUUUUUAUAUAAUUUUUUUAUAAAAGUUUUGGCUUUUUUCAAAAAUGCAAGUUGUUUUGUGGCUAAAACCUAAAUUUACUUAGAAGGGGGAAUGGAAAUUAAAAGAAAUAUGGCCAAAAAAAAAAGAAAAAGGAUACUGAUCUGAUCUGCUUGGGUUAUAUAGAAUGGUGGGGGAGCAAUUGUUAGGCGGUGGUGAGAUAUUUUGGUUUUGAUUUCGGACUUUGGUUAAAUCAAUAUUAUUGUUUUAUUUAUUUAAAAAAAUUUAACCUUUAAAAUACAUGUUAGAAAUUUUGUUAAAUUUGAAGUAAUGAUGUGGGAUAUGCCAUAUAUUUGGGAUGCAAAUUUAGUACGUAAAUUUGAUGUUCUUAGCAAUUUUCUUUAUAAAAGCUGCUGAUG
Molecule: long non-coding RNA, 1790 nt
Filed under: Prunus persica (peach)
Lineage: Eukaryota; Viridiplantae; Streptophyta; Magnoliopsida; Rosales; Rosaceae
Description: long non-coding RNA (PPER_LNC002650)
Source: RNAcentral